UACGGAGGGAGCUAGCGUUAUUCGGAAUUACUGGGCGUAAAGCGCACGUAGGCGGCUUUGUAAGUAAGAGGUGAAAGCCCAGAGCUCAACUCUGGAAUUGCCUUUUAGACUGACAUCGCUUGAAUCAUGGAGAGGUCAGUGGAAUUCCGAGUGGUAGAGGUGAAAUUCGUAGAUAUUCGGAAGAACACCAGUGGCGAAGGCGGCUGACUGGACAUGAGUUGACGCUGAGGUGCGAAAGCGUGG
This 243-nucleotide ribosomal RNA is filed under the name uncultured bacterium. Its description in RNAcentral is "partial 16S ribosomal RNA". It matches the Rfam family "Bacterial small subunit ribosomal RNA", at positions 524 to 764 of the family's 1533-position model. The record is from RNAcentral.